GAGAUUAUCAUGGCCUACGUCAUCAAGGUGUGCAGGUGGUGAAAAUUCAAAUCGGACAAAAAAAAUCUAAUUCGUGUACUGUGGUAAGCCAGGCGAGUAUUGAACUCCAUAGCACUGUGUAAAGCUGAGCAAACCUUACUUUUAAGAGACUUUCCUCUGUUUGUUAGUAGACUAGACACUAGACAACUACAGAAAGAAAACGCGAAAAAAAAGAAAAGAAAAACACAGAUGCAGUAAAGUGUUCAAAAACACGUUUUAGUUCCAAACCGGCUGCUGGUGUUUGUGAUGAUGGGGAGAUGAGCGGUCAGAAAGCAGGUGUGUGUGCUUCAGUUAUGUGGGGAAGAGAUGGAUGCACCAGGAUGCACUAUGGGAAGAAGACAAGCUGGCGGAGGCAGUAUGAUGCUCUGGACCGAGUACAGCCCUUCAUGGCACCUGUAUUCUCUAAUGGCAGUGGCCUCUUUCAGCAAGAUCUCAGUCCAGUCGAGCAUCUGUGGAAUGUGCUGGACAAACAAGUCUGAUGCAUGGAGGCUCCACCUGGCAACUUACAGGACUUAAAGGAUCUACUGCUAACAUCUUGGUGCAAGAUACCACAGCACACCUUCAGAGGUCUCGUCGGGUCAGAGCUGUUUUGGCGGCACAAGGGAAACCUACACAAUAUUAGGCAGGAGGUUUUAAUGUUAUGGCUGAUCUGUGUGUGUGUGUGUGUGUGUGUAAUAUAUAUAUAUAUAUAUAAUCAAUGCGCUAAUUAGAAGAAGUUUUUAUUUGUCACAUAUAUAUUACAGCACAGUAAAAUUCCUUUCUUCGCAUAUCCCAGCUUGUUAGGAAGCUAGGGUCAGAGAUGAUAUGGGGCCUAACAGUGGCAGCUUGGCAGUGCUGGGGUUUAAACCCCCUUCCUUCUGAUCAGUAAGCCAGAGCCAUAAACGUUGAGUCAGCACAUGUGAUCAUUCUGAUCAUUAAAACGUUUACAAAGGAAAAUAGUCAACUAUUCAGUUGAAUAGUUCAGUUAACUAUUACCAGUUUGUGAAACUGGGGCAAAAUGUAUUCUGAGGCAUACUUUUAAAUGACUAAGCACUGUAUUAACAGGCUUUCACUGAAGCAGAGUGAGGGAUGUACUGGUUUACAGCAGCAGUUGAGCUCUGAUUUGAUUGUAUAGUUACUCCCUCUAGUGGUGAUUUUGUGAGUAUAUCUGAGUGUGUGUGUUCUCUGUAGUCUCUCCUUGCCCUGCAGCAAUAUGCUUUUAUGUCUGUGGUUCUUAAUCCAGCUUCUGUUAAAUUAUUAAGCUACAGAUAUCCUCCCCCCGACACACACGCACACACAGACUGAAUAAUACUGUACAUACUCCCUGCACUGUAUAGCCUGUGUGUCUAAUAUUUAGUGUGAAUAAAUACACACUUCACAUAGCCUGGUUGCUUCUACUAAAUUAAAGGCUUUUAUAAUAGUAUUUGAAAAGAUAUUCCUGACUGCAACAGUGCCUUCAAGUAAGUGGGGUUUGCAUUGAAAACUCAUUUGAAACAAACUAUUUACUUUAUAGAGCAACAGCGAUGAUUUAUAAUCCCACUAACCGGUGGCACCCAGAAGAGGACGUUCCCAGGAAGCUUUUCCCUUGCCACUGUAGCUCCUGAAUUGCUUAUUGGAGAUCUCAAUAUGCAUCUACAUCUUGAUUUCUGUAACGCUGCUUUCUGACGAUGUCUAUUGUUUAAAGUAAUGUGUAA
Long non-coding RNA from Pangasianodon hypophthalmus (striped catfish), 1712 nucleotides. RefSeq lists it as uncharacterized. The record is from RefSeq and is a predicted model, not a curated record. The transcript has 4 exons. NCBI's taxonomy places the organism in Eukaryota, Metazoa, Chordata, Actinopteri, Siluriformes, Pangasiidae.